UACGUAGGGACCAAGCGUUGUUCGGAUUUACUGGGCGUAAAGGGCGCGUAGGCGGCGCGGUAAGUCACUUGUGAAAUCUCUGAGCUUAACUCAGAACGGCCAAGUGAUACUGCAGUGCUAGAGUGCAGAAAGGGCAAUCGGAAUUCUUGGUGUAGCGGUGAAAUGCGUAGAUAUCAAGAGGAACACCUGAGGCGAAGGCGGGUUGCUAGGCUGAUACUGACGCUGAGGCGCGAAAGCCAGGGGAGCGAACGGG
RNAcentral lists this ribosomal RNA (253 nucleotides) under uncultured bacterium. RNAcentral describes it as "partial 16S ribosomal RNA". It matches the Rfam family "Bacterial small subunit ribosomal RNA", at positions 524 to 776 of the family's 1533-position model. The record is from RNAcentral.